RNAcentral lists this ribosomal RNA (301 nucleotides) under uncultured bacterium. RNAcentral describes it as "partial 16S ribosomal RNA". It matches the Rfam family "Bacterial small subunit ribosomal RNA", at positions 509 to 808 of the family's 1533-position model. The record is from RNAcentral.
CAGUCGCCGCGGUAAUACGGAGGGUGCAAGCGUUAAUCGGAAUUACUGGGCGUAAAGCGCACGCAGGCGGUCUGACAAGUCAGAUGUGAAAUCCCCGGGCUUAACCUGGGAACUGCAUUUGAAACUGUCAGGCUGGAGUCUUGUAGAGGGGGGUGGAAUUCCAGGUGUAGCGGUGAAAUGCGUAGAGAUCUGGAGGAAUACCGGUGGCGAAGGCGGCCCCCUGGACAAAGACUGACGCUCAGGUGCGAAAGCGUGGGGAGCAAACAGGAUUAGAUACCCCGGUAGUCCCUGUAUCUUUACC